This 467-nucleotide ribosomal RNA is filed under the name uncultured bacterium. RNAcentral describes it as "partial 16S ribosomal RNA". It matches the Rfam family "Bacterial small subunit ribosomal RNA", at positions 29 to 507 of the family's 1533-position model. The record is from RNAcentral.
ACGAACGCUGGCGGCGUGCUUAACACCUGCAAGUCGUACGGAAAGGCCCUGCUUUUGUGGGGUGCUCGAGUGGCGAACGGGUGAGUAACACGUGAGUAACCUGCCCUUGACUUUGGGAUAACUUCAGGAAACUGGGGCUAAUACCGGAUAGGAGCUCCUGCUGCAUGGUGGGGGUUGGAAAGUUUCGGCGGUUGGGGAUGGACUCGCGGCUUAUCAGCUUGUUGGUGGGGUAGUGGCUUACCAAGGCUUUGACGGGUAGCCGGCCUGAGAGGGUGACCGGCCAAAUUGGGAUUGAGAUCGGCCCAAGACUCCUAGGGGAGGAGGCGGGGGGAAUGAUUGAAGAGGGGGCGGGAGCCUGUGGCGGCAGCCCCGGGGGGGGAAUGGCGGCCUGCGGUUUGAAACCCGUUUCCGCUGGGGAAGAAGGGGAAGUGGCGGUAAGGGGAAAAGAAGCACCGGCAAAUUACGUG